RNAcentral lists this ribosomal RNA (562 nucleotides) under Phyrella mookiei. RNAcentral describes it as "partial 16S ribosomal RNA". It matches the Rfam family "Bacterial large subunit ribosomal RNA", at positions 1797 to 2620 of the family's 2925-position model. The record is from RNAcentral. Lineage: Eukaryota; Metazoa; Echinodermata; Holothuroidea; Dendrochirotida; Phyllophoridae.
CGCCUGUUUAUCAAAAACAUAGCCCCUUGAAAAUAUUUAUAAGGGGUAAAGCCUGCCCAGUGGAAUCUCUUAACGGCCGCGGUAUCCUGACCGUGCAAAGGUAGCAUAAUCAUUUGUCUCUUAAUUGGGGACUGGUAUGAAUGGCACCACAUUUUCCAUCUGUCUCCUUUCCUCCUCUUCUAAACUUCUAUUAACGUGAAGAAGCGUUAAUAAAAAAGAAAGACGAGAAGACCCUGUCGAGCUUCAGCUAAAAAGAAAACAUAACUCUUUCUUCAAGAAACAAAAACUUUUUCCCUACAGCUUUGGUUGGGGCAACCAUGGAGAACAUAAAUAUCCUCCAGUGAAACUAUAGAUCUCUCAUCCUACUAAAAUCUAGAACCAAAAUGAUUGGAAACCGGAAAUAGUUACCGCAGGGAUAACAGCGUUAUCUUCUUUAAGAGCCCCCAUUGACAAGAAGGAUUGCGACCUCGAUGUUGGAUUAGGGUAACCAAAAGGUGCAACAGCUUUUUUAGGUUGGACUGUUCGUCCAUUAAUCCCCUACGUGAUCUGAGUUCAGACCGGA